AAUCCAUGCAUUGGACAUUUCCACGUUAAGUCUUUAAAUUGUUUCCAAGCUUCAUAUAGUGUUUCAUCCUCUAAUUUUUGAAAAGAUGUGAUGUCAUUUCUAAGCUU
RNAcentral lists this small nucleolar RNA (107 nucleotides) under Gossypium hirsutum (cotton). RNAcentral describes it as "Plant small nucleolar RNA R71". It matches the Rfam family "Plant small nucleolar RNA R71". Rfam says of the family: R71 is a member of the C/D box family of snoRNAs containing the C (UGAUGA) and D (CUGA) box motifs. Multiple nearly identical copies of this snoRNA have been identified in Arabidopsis, and it is thought to function as a 2'-O-ribose methylation guide for 18S ribosomal RNA. The record is from Rfam by way of RNAcentral. Lineage: Eukaryota; Viridiplantae; Streptophyta; Magnoliopsida; Malvales; Malvaceae.